RNAcentral lists this ribosomal RNA (494 nucleotides) under uncultured bacterium. RNAcentral's name for it is "partial 16S ribosomal RNA". It matches the Rfam family "Bacterial small subunit ribosomal RNA", at positions 28 to 507 of the family's 1533-position model. The record is from RNAcentral.
GACGAACGCUGGCGGCGUGCUUAACACAUGCAAGUCGAACGGUGAUGCGCCUUCCUUUUUGGUGGGUGUGGAUGAGUGGCGAACGGGUGAGUAACACGUGAGUAACCUGCCCCCUUCUUCUGGAUAACCGCAUGAAAGUGUGGCUAAUACGGGAUAUUCUGGGUCUGUCGCAUGAUGGGUCUGGGAAAGAUAUUGUUUCGGUGGGGGAUGGGCUCGCGGCCUAUCAGCUUGUUGGUGGGGUGAUGGCCUACCAAGGCGGUGACGGGUAGCCGGCCUGAGAGGGUGGACGGUCACACUGGGACUGAGACACGGCCCAGACUCCUACGGGAGGCAGCAGUGGGGAAUAGUGCACAAUGGGCGCAAGCCUGAUGCAGCGACGCCGCGUGAGGGAUGGAGGCCUUCGGGUUGUGAACCUCUUUCGCCAGUGAAGCAGGCCUGCCUCGUUUGUGGGUGGGUUGACGGUAGCUGGAGAAGAAGCGCCGGCUAACUACGUG